This 315-nucleotide ribosomal RNA is filed under the name uncultured eukaryote. RNAcentral describes it as "partial 18S ribosomal RNA". It matches the Rfam family "Eukaryotic small subunit ribosomal RNA", at positions 1470 to 1796 of the family's 1831-position model. The record is from RNAcentral.
CCCUUAGAUGUCCGGGGCCGCACGCGCGCUACACUGAAGGAAUCAGCGUGGCUUUCUCCCUGACCCGAAAGGGUUGGGAAACCCGUUGAAUCUCCUUCGUGAUAGGGAUUGGGGCUUGAAAUUGUUCCCCAUGAACGAGGAAUUCCCAGUAAGCGCGAGUCAUAAGCUCGCGUUGAUUACGUCCCUGCCCUUUGUACACACCGCCCGUCGCUCCUACCGAUGGAUCGUCCGGUGAAGCUCAUGGAGGGGCGGUUGUCUCAGCUGCCGUCGAAGUGAAAUGGACCUCACGAUCUAGAGGAAGGAGAAGUCGUAACA